Molecule: ribosomal RNA, 219 nt
Filed under: uncultured bacterium
Lineage: Bacteria
Description: partial 16S ribosomal RNA
Rfam family: Bacterial small subunit ribosomal RNA
Source: RNAcentral
AACGAACGCUGGCGGCAGGCCUAACACAUGCAAGUCGAACGCCGUAGCAAUACGGAGUGGCAGACGGGUGAGUAACGCGUGGGAACAUACCCUUCGGUUCGGAAUAACUCAGGGAAACUUGAGCUAAUACCGGAUACGUCCGAGGUCAAACUUGGAGAAAGAUUUAUCGCCGGAGGAUUGGCCCGCGUCUGAUUAGCUUGUUGGUGAGGUAAUGGCUCA